AGUCGAACGAUGAUCCCUGGCUUGCUGGGGGGAUUAGUGGCGAACGGGUGAGUAACACGUGAGUAACCUGCCCUUGACUCUGGGAUAAGCCUGGGAAACUGGGUCUAAUACCGGAUACGACCGUCCCACGCAUGUGGUGGUGGUGGAAAGCUUUUGCGGUUUUGGAUGGACUCGCGGCCUAUCAGCUUGUUGGUGGGGUAAUGGCCUACCAAGGCGACGACGGGUAGCCGGCCUGAGAGGGUGACCGGCCACACUGGGACUGAGACACGGCCCAGACUCCUACGGGAGGCAGCAGUGGGGAAUAUUGCACAAUGGGCGGAAGCCUGAUGCAGCGACGCCGCGUGAGGGAUGACGGCCUUCGGGUUGUAAACCUCUUUCAGUAGGGAAGAAGCGUAAGUGACGGUACCUGCAGAAGAAGCGCCGGCUAACUACGUGCCAGCAGCCGCGGUAAUACGUAGGGCGCAAGCGUUAUCCGGAAUUAUUGGGCGUAAAGAGCUCGUAGGCGGUUUGUCGCGUCUGCUGUGAAAGACCGGGGCUCAACUCCGGUUCUGCAGUGGGUACGGGCAGACUAGAGUGAUGUAGGGGAGACUGGAAUUCCUGGUGUAGCGGUGAAAUGCGCAGAUAUCAGGAGGAACACCGAUGGCGAAGGCAGGUCUCUGGGCAUUAACUGACGCUGAGGAGCGAAAGCAUGGGGAGCGAACAGGAUUAGAUACCCUGGUAGUCCAUGCCGUAAACGUUGGGCACUAGGUGUGGGGGACAUUCCACGUUUUCCGCGCCGUAGCUAACGCAUUAAGUGCCCCGCCUGGGGAGUACGGCCGCAAGGCUAAAACUCAAAGGAAUUGACGGGGGCCCGCACAAGCGGCGGAGCAUGCGGAUUAAUUCGAUGCAACGCGAAGAACCUUACCAAGGCUUGACAUGAACCGGUAACGCCUGGAAACAGGUGCCCCGCUUGCGGUCGGUUUACAGGUGGUGCAUGGUUGUCGUCAGCUC
This 990-nucleotide ribosomal RNA is filed under the name Arthrobacter bambusae. RNAcentral describes it as "bacterial SSU rRNA". It matches the Rfam family "Bacterial small subunit ribosomal RNA", at positions 60 to 1061 of the family's 1533-position model. The record is from RNAcentral. Lineage: Bacteria; Bacillati; Actinomycetota; Actinomycetes; Micrococcales; Micrococcaceae.